This 376-nucleotide ribosomal RNA is filed under the name uncultured bacterium. RNAcentral's name for it is "bacterial SSU rRNA". It matches the Rfam family "Bacterial small subunit ribosomal RNA", at positions 524 to 898 of the family's 1533-position model. The record is from RNAcentral.
AACGUAGGUGGCAAGCGUUAUCCGGAUUCACUGGGCGUAAAGCGAGUGCAGGUGGUUGUGUAAGUUGGAUGUGAAAUUUCCCAGCCUAACUGGGAAGGGUCAUUCAAUACUGCGCGACUUGAGGGCAGAAGAGGGGGGUGGAAUUGCCGGUGUAGUGGUGAAAUGCGUAGAUAUCGGCAGGAACACCUGUGGCGAAAGCGGCCCCCUGGUCUGAUCCUGACACUCAGACUCGAAAGCUAGGGUAGCGAACGGGAUUAGAAACCCCGGUAGUCCUAGCCGUAAACGAUGGAUGCUAGGUGUGGGUGGUAUUGACCCCAUCCGUGCCGAAGCUAACGCGUUAAGCAUCCCGCCUGGGGACUACGGCCGCAAGGUUAAA